CUCUACGGCCAUAUCACCCUGAACGCACCCAUUCUCGUCUGAUCUCGGAAGCUAAGCAGGGUCGGGCCUGGUUAGUUCUCGGAUGGGAGAGA
This 92-nucleotide ribosomal RNA is filed under the name Papio anubis (olive baboon). Lineage: Eukaryota; Metazoa; Chordata; Mammalia; Primates; Cercopithecidae. The record is from RNAcentral.